This 248-nucleotide ribosomal RNA is filed under the name Ochronanus sp. ARC3525. Its description in RNAcentral is "partial 18S ribosomal RNA". It matches the Rfam family "Eukaryotic small subunit ribosomal RNA", at positions 37 to 286 of the family's 1831-position model. Lineage: Eukaryota; Metazoa; Arthropoda; Insecta; Coleoptera; Curculionidae. The record is from RNAcentral.
UCAAAGAUUAAGCCAUGCAUGUCUCAGUACGAGCCACGAUAAGGUGAAACCGCGAAAGGCUCAUUAAAUCAGUUAUGGUUCCUUAGAUCGUACCCACACUACUUGGAUAACUGUGGUAAUUCUAGAGCUAAUACAUGCAAACAGAGCUCCGACCGGAGACGGGAGGAGUGCUUUUAUUAGAACAAAACCAAUCGGUGGCGGGCUGGCGACUCUGAAUAACUUUACGCUGAUCGCACGGUCUAGCACCG